UGGGGAAUAUUGGACAAUGGGCGCAAGCCUGAUCCAGCCAUGCCGCGUGAGUGACGAAGGCCUUAGGGUUGUAAAGCUCUUUUCGGCGGGGAAGAUAAUGACGGUACCCGCAGAAGAAGCCCCGGCUAACUCUGUGCCAGCAGCCGCGGUAAUACAGAGGGGGCAAGCGUUGUUCGGAAUCACUGGGCGUAAAGCGCACGUAGGCGGUUGCGUAAGUCGGAUGUGAAAACUCAGGGCUCAACCCUGAGACGCCAUCCGAUACUGCGCUGACUUGAAUCCAGUAGGGGAGUGUGGAAUUCCUGGUGUAGCGGUGAAAUGCGCAGAUAUCAGGAGGAACACCCAUGGCGAAGGCAGCACUCUGGGCUGGUAUUGACGCUGAGGAGCGAAAGCAUGGGUAGCGAACAGGAUUAGAUACCCCUGUAGUCCCUGAGCGGGCUGGCAAGGCGCAU
This 449-nucleotide ribosomal RNA is filed under the name uncultured bacterium. RNAcentral describes it as "bacterial SSU rRNA". It matches the Rfam family "Bacterial small subunit ribosomal RNA", at positions 355 to 825 of the family's 1533-position model. The record is from RNAcentral.